RNAcentral lists this ribosomal RNA (274 nucleotides) under uncultured bacterium. RNAcentral's name for it is "partial 16S ribosomal RNA". It matches the Rfam family "Bacterial small subunit ribosomal RNA", at positions 523 to 796 of the family's 1533-position model. The record is from RNAcentral.
CUACGGAGGGGGCAAGCGUUGUUCGGAAUUACUGGGCGUAAAGAGUACGUAGGCGGAUCGUUAAGUUAGAGGUGAAAUCCCAGGGCUUAACCCUGGAACUGCCUCUAAUACUGCCAGUCUUGAGUUCGGGAGAGGUGAGUGGAAUUCCUAGUGUAGAGGUGAAAUUCGUAGAUAUUAGGAAGAACACCAGUGGCGAAGGCGGCUCACUGGCCCGAUACUGACGCUGAGGCGCGAAAGCGUGGGGAGCAAACAGGAUUAGAAACCCUAGUAGUCC